GUUUUGGUAUUCCUUCUCGAGCUUCUAUUUCUUCCGUUAAAGAAGAUUCGAGAAAAGAUAGAAUAAGAAGACGUGUUUCCAGAACAAACAAAAUACAAGUUAAGAAGAGGAAGUUAGCAAAGUUAGACAAGAUUGGAAUAAGCAUAGAAACAUGUAUUGAUGUACCAAAUCGGCUAAUGCUCCCAGGUUGAUGCAAUGUAUUCCACCAGUUGACUGAAAACUUGAUUAUUGGUAUAUCGAUCAGUCCAAUACAGAUUAAAAUAGAAGCCAGUUCGACAGAAAGCUUUUGAAAACACA
RNAcentral lists this unclassified non-coding RNA (297 nucleotides) under Hevea brasiliensis (rubber tree). The record is from RNAcentral. Lineage: Eukaryota; Viridiplantae; Streptophyta; Magnoliopsida; Malpighiales; Euphorbiaceae.